Molecule: long non-coding RNA, 577 nt
Organism: Manis pentadactyla (Chinese pangolin)
Lineage: Eukaryota; Metazoa; Chordata; Mammalia; Pholidota; Manidae
Exons: 2
Source: RefSeq, a predicted model, not a curated record
UGUUUCCUGGACUCCAGACCUUUGUCUCCUAGGACCGGCAGCGCUCUCCAGCCUGGCCAGACGUUGGACAGAAACUACAUUACCCAGUGGGCACCGAGAGGGCGACAUCACCCGAAAGGGGGUGUUCCGGUCUCGUUUGCAGAGGCAGGAUUUCCGGCGUCACCAGGCGAAAGCGUUUACGGCGUGGGGCGCGACCCCUCCACCCUCGCGCUGAGUUCUCGGCUGCCGGUCGGUCGGAGCAGGGCAGAACGGCGAGAAGGCCCCACCUGCGCCUCCGCGGGUUCUGGGUGGGGUCGCUGAGCCCCCGGGCGCCCCCGUGGGAACCCGCUCGCAACAGCUCUGAUGGCGGCGCACUUGGACCGCCGCAGGUUGAGAAAACCCAGAAAGAUGUAUCACACUUGUGUAAAUGAGCGUGUGUCAAAAGGGCGGACAGUUUUUGCUUUGAUUUUAUGAAGGAAUAUUUGUGAGUCUACAUACUACAUACACACACACGAAUAUAUAUAUUCAUUUACCGAACCAGCAACAGGGACCUUGUUUAUUUAUAUUGCAAAUAAAUUUUUCUCUCUUUAAGUCUCAA